GACAGGCCAGACUUGAAAUUCCAGCACUUGAGCGAAAAAAAUAACAAAAAUAACAAGACAGACCCAAAACCAAAACCAAAACCAACGGCGCUUCACUUUCCCUCGACACAGACCCAAAACCGGAACCCUCACUCUCGACAGCUCCUCACUCUGUCGACAAAACCUAAAGCUAAAACCUCACUCUCCCAAACCCUCACUCUUCGCUCGCGCCUCACUCGCCUAUUACUCUUUGCUGAAUUCGAAAUCCCCAAUUUUCUAGGGUUUCAGUUUUCAAUCGCAACAGGAAAUUGUUGAAGUGGAAGGCAUCAUGGAAGAGAAUGUUCUCCCUCGCCAUCUUCGAUACCAGCCCCUCAAGGCCAUCACCAUAAUCCAAGCGGUCAUCAUCUUCUCCGUCGAUCUGAGGGCAUGCCCGACAACCUCUACUACAGCGACAACGAGUACAUCGACCAAAUAGAGAAUCUCUCUCGCUUACGUGUCUCAGUGGGGCAACUCAAGGAGCCGGAGUAGUCCACCGCCAAAGCCACCACUUGGUUGAGGUGCACGGCCUAGAACCUUGAUCUCGAUCUCCUAUUCCGAUAAGGCUGAGAGAUUGUUGGCUGAAGCAGCGGGUAUGGAUCGCAGCGGGUUAUGUUUCCGGAAGCGUUUCUGGGGAGGGUAUCCACGUGGCUCCAAUUUCAGGGUUGCGAUUGGGAACAAAACUGCCAAGGGGAAAAAAGAGUUCCGAAUUGAGAGGUGGGGAAGGUUGAGAGGAAGUGGAUUCAGGGCAUGGAAGUGAUGGCAGGGGCAUCGUGGGUUCGGAUGGGAAACGGGUCUUGAUCGGCGCGGGGACUCGUGCGCUAUUUUACCCGACUCUGCUUUACAAUGUCAUCAGGAAUAAGCUUCAAGCUAAGUGGUGAGGUGCCUCACUUAAAGGAGGUCGGAGUUCGUGGAGUCAUCACACUUAAUGAGCCAUAUGAGACUGAUUCCAACAUCUCUUUAUCAGUGACGGUUUUGCCCUCGCUACUUGCCUCAACUACAGUCUUGCCAUUGUUUUACGAAUAAGGGCGAUGGAGGCUUCGAGAGAGACUGAUCGAGAGAGAGAGAGACAGCAACUCUGAGACAAAGGAAAACACCCAAAUACCCAAAUCGUUGAUCCCGAUUGUGCCACUACUGAUUCUUCCGUGUCUUCUACUUUUGCAGUCAUCAUCUGCUCGGCGUUGAAUUCUUCUAUCUCUACAGUCGUGUAACCAAGAUUGAGAGAGUGGGUUCUUUGUUCUGCGUUUGUUUUCGAUUGCCUGCCUUUGAUUUGUGAAUUUGGAUUUGGUUCCGUCUUUUUUGCUUAUCAUCUUCCCUGAUUAUGAUCCUGCUUUUCAUGCAAACAGUUUUGUGAUCGGUGGGUUAUAGUUUGAAAAAUGGUGAGAGCAUUUCUCAGUUCGUGUAGAGGGGGUGGGUUAUUCGGUUUUGUUCUGGUGGAGAGGAAGACGAAUUUGGGUUAGUGGUUUAAGUCUGCAAUGGUACCCUGAAGGAAAACAGGAGAGAAAGAGCCCACAGCACAGAAAGCUUUGUCUUGGUGAGCUUAACAAACCACCACUUCCAGUUUGUGCUAUCUCUACAGCUUUAAGCAACAAUGAAAUCUAUACUCAUCAAUGAGAUAGCAAUUCCAGCUCCAGCAUUUUGUGCAGCUGCAAUGACUGCUGGUAACUAAUAGUUUGGAUCAACUCCAACAUUUUGUCAACCACAAUUGGAGCAGCCACUUUUUUACACCUGCUCCAGCAACAACUUUUGCUACGCUGGCUCAGAACAAAACCUUUUGGAAAGUUACAACUGAAGCUGCUAAACCUGUUGUCCAACUAGCAUUUCUAAACCAACUUCAGUGACAACUUUGUUAACCUAUUUUUGUAAUACACUUUUGUUAGGUUAACGUUUUUGUAUAAAAAAAAAAUCUUUCACUGUUUCAAUAGAAUGCAAUAAUUUUCCUUUUGUAUUUUAUCAUUAUCAUUUAUUUACAAACACAAUUCCGCAGCAAAGCGCGGGUAUAAUUUCUAGUAAAUAUACGGUUGCUGCUUUAAUGUCAUUGAAUUGACAAUCAUAUCAACCUCAUAUGUCGUUAACUUGUGGAUUAUGAACUAGAGUACGUAUGCAGCUUCGUCAAUAUAUUUUUGUACAACAUUAGAUGCUAAAUGAAUUUGGUUGUAUCAUGCUGAUUUUGUUGUUGACUGCUUGCAGUUGUACAUAGCACCUAUAUAUUCAUGUUGCAGGUUUCAUAGCUAUGUAUGCUACACUUGCCAGUAGUCGCGAUGUGGACUAUUGUUUGAUUCCAGAUUCCCCCUUUCUUUCUUUCUUAAAAGGACGAGGUGGACUUUUUGAGUUCAUUGAAAAACGACUCAGAAAAUGAACAUAUGGUUAUUAUGAUUGCUGAGGGAGCAGGACAUGAUCUUCUUUUAGAGAGCUUGUAAUCCAUGAACCAGGAAGAUGCUUUAAGAAACAAGCAACUUAAAGACAUUGGGUUAUGGAUAUCUCAGAGGAUCAGGGUAUUACUUGCAAUCCUACAGAGUUGGUGCUUGGAAACUUCCAAAGCUAGACUCAAAUGAGGCCAUGAGAGCAGCAAAGCUAGACACAAGUAAAUUUCUGGAUGUAUUUUGCUAGGAGAGUACUAUUAGAUGUACUCCUUUUGGGGAUAAAAGAUUAACUUUGCACAA
This is an RNA transcript of Rosa chinensis, 2678 nucleotides long. RefSeq lists it as uncharacterized. The transcript is spliced from 7 exons. The record is from RefSeq and is a predicted model, not a curated record. NCBI's taxonomy places the organism in Eukaryota, Viridiplantae, Streptophyta, Magnoliopsida, Rosales, Rosaceae.